This 447-nucleotide ribosomal RNA is filed under the name uncultured bacterium. RNAcentral's name for it is "bacterial SSU rRNA". It matches the Rfam family "Bacterial small subunit ribosomal RNA", at positions 329 to 792 of the family's 1533-position model. The record is from RNAcentral.
CCCCAGACUCCUACGGGAGGCAGCAGUGGGGAAUAUUGCACAAUGGGGGAAACCCUGAUGCAGCAACGCCGCGUGGGUGAAGGAGCGUUUCGGCGCGUAAAGCCCUGUCAGCGGGGAAGAAGAAAGACGGUACCUGACUAAGAAGCCCCGGCUAACUACGUGCCAGCAGCCGCGGUAAUACGUAGGGGGCGAGCGUUAUCCGGAUUCACUGGGUGUAAAGGGAGCGUAGACGGCCAAGCAAGCCAGGGGUGAAAGCCCGGGGCCCAACCCCGGGACUGCCCUUGGAACUGCAUGGCUGGAGUGCGGGAGGGGCAGGCGGAAUUCCUGGUGUAGCGGUGAAAUGCGUAGAUAUCAGGAGGAACACCGGCGGCGAAGGCGGCCUGCUGGACCGCGACUGACGUUGAGGCUCGAAAGCGUGGGGAGCAAACAGGAUUAGAUACCCUAGUA